This 377-nucleotide ribosomal RNA is filed under the name uncultured bacterium. RNAcentral describes it as "bacterial SSU rRNA". It matches the Rfam family "Bacterial small subunit ribosomal RNA", at positions 524 to 898 of the family's 1533-position model. The record is from RNAcentral.
AACGUAGGAGGCAAGCGUUAUCCGGAAUUACUGGGCGUAAAGGGCGUCUAGGCGGCGGUACAAGCGCGAUGUGAAAGCUCCUGGCUCAACUGGGAGAGUGCGUAGCGAACUGUGCAGCUAGAGGCCAGGCGAUGGGGGUGGAAUUCCCGGUGGAGUGGUGAAAUGCGUAGAGAUCGGGAGGAACACCAGUGGCGCAAGCGGCCCCCAAGCCUGAACCUGACGCUGAAGCGCGACAGCGUGGGGAGCAAACGGGAUUAGAUACCCCGGUAGUCCACGCCAUAAACGAUGGUGACUAGGUGUGGGGGCUGGUACACAGCCCUCGUGCCGUAGCUAACGCGAUAAGUCACCCGCCUGGGGAGUACGGCCGCAAGGCUAAA